This 253-nucleotide ribosomal RNA is filed under the name uncultured bacterium. RNAcentral describes it as "partial 16S ribosomal RNA". It matches the Rfam family "Bacterial small subunit ribosomal RNA", at positions 524 to 776 of the family's 1533-position model. The record is from RNAcentral.
UACAGAGGUCCCGAGCGUUGUUCGGAUUCAUUGGGCGUAAAGGGUGCGUAGGCGGCGGGGUAAGUCUGAUGUGAAAGGUUGGGGCUCAACCCUGACACUGCAUUGGAUACUGCCUUGCUAGAGUACUGGAGAGGAGACUGGAAUUUACGGUGUAGCAGUGAAAUGCGUAGAGAUCGUAAGGAAGACCAGUGGCGAAGGCGAGUCUCUGGACAGUUACUGACGCUGAGGCACGAAGGCCAGGGGAGCAAACGGG